UCCCUAUUUCAGCAAUGAACAAUAAUAUAUCAUUUGAUAUAUUUUUGCUUUUCUUUCUCAAAUACACAAAAAGAAGUGACAAAAAAAUACAGAAAAAGAAGAAAACAACCCUAAUCCUCCAACAAUGGGUAAACGGAAUUGAAUUCGUCAGAAUGGGUGAACCAAAUUCGUCUCAACAACCGUAAUCCUCCGAAUUCGUCCCCGUCGAAGAACAAUCCGCUGUGGAAGAAGAAAACCCUUCCAUCAACCCUAAUCUGUGAAGAACAACCUCAAUCACUCCGCCGUUAUUAUCCAUCGUUCUCGUGGUUACAAGGGAUGGAUCGGAUGAUGGUGGUAAUUAUCUUUGCAUUUUUCUUUACCGAUGCUAUGAUAUCUAUUCCUAACCAGGGUAUGAUAAAUUCUAUUAAGAAGUAAAAUUUGCUACUUACUACUGUUGAAAGAAUCAUGUCGCUGUUGGUUUGAGAUAUGAGAUUUUGAUAGGAGGUUCUAGGUUUUUUCACAUGAGAUUUUGAUAAGAAGAAUCAUAAUCUUAGUUUUGGACCUCUUUAUCUUAGCAAUACUAUACUAAUUGAUUAUUCAUUGAAUCCUUUAAACCUCUUUAUCUCAGUAUAAUCUUACUUAACAUAACAUAUUAGCAUAUAAUUUUGAAAUCAUGGACACAAAAAAGUCAACAUAUAACAAGCUUGUUAAGUUGUUAGCUUAAUGGUAAAAUUGGUUGUAUUGUAAUCCCUCUUGUUUAAGUUCUAUCUGUUCACUUUUUGUUUGAAUUGCAUUUGUUCCAAGACCUUGGCAAAAGUUGUAAAUUUCUUUCAUAGAUCUCUUGUCAAGCUGGGAAAAUAUGAAUACAUAUUUGCAUCGGUCGUUUAUCAUAUACUCCUAUGUUUCUUCUUUUGAUUUUGAUUUGUCAAUUGUCUAUCUUUGUGCCGGUGAUCACAUGCUUAAUUUACUCUAUUUCAUAUACCUCUAUCUUAGCAACCAUACUUAAGUCCAUUCAAUUUGUUAGGAGAGCCAAAAGAUGAUUCUUUAAGACUUAAAAUUGAUUUUGAUGUGUUUAGUGUUUCUAAUAGUGAUUAGAAUUGAUUCUACAUGUGAUUUUGUCUCUAAAUGUGAUUUUUACACUUAAAUUUAUUCACUUUCAUGUGAAUGUAUCUUAAUAGGGUUCUAGCUAUUGCUAUUGCGUGACCUAAUUUGACUUUCUUAUUUGUUCGGAUUUCACGCUUUCAGUUUCGAUUUGUUCCGUAUUGCACACUUUCAGGUUUCAGUUUGAUUCCUUUGCAUAUGUUAAAAGGCUAUAGUGGAAGCAGCUGAUACUGAAUUCAUCAUACUUGGCCAGCGAAUUUAUUAAAUUACUUGGCCUUAAGGACUUUAUCUUGAGGAGAUCAUUAAGUGGUGACAGA
This is a long non-coding RNA of Trifolium pratense (red clover), 1397 nucleotides long. RefSeq lists it as uncharacterized. The record is from RefSeq and is a predicted model, not a curated record. NCBI's taxonomy places the organism in Eukaryota, Viridiplantae, Streptophyta, Magnoliopsida, Fabales, Fabaceae. The transcript has 5 exons.